Molecule: unclassified non-coding RNA, 695 nt
Filed under: Gymnoascus reessii
Lineage: Eukaryota; Fungi; Ascomycota; Eurotiomycetes; Onygenales; Gymnoascaceae
Description: Gymnoascus reesii sequence contains 18S rRNA gene, ITS1, 5.8S rRNA gene, ITS2, 28S rRNA gene
Rfam family: 5.8S ribosomal RNA (bases 254-407)
Source: RNAcentral
UGGAAGUAAAAGUCGUAACAAGGUUUCCGUAGGUGAACCUGCGGAAGGAUCAUUACAGUGCCCGGUCGCCGCCCCCUAAAGGCUGGCGACCGAACAGGCCACCCUUGUCUACCUUACCACUGUUGCUUCGGCGGGACCGUCCCCUUAGGGGGGCGACCCGGGGCUGGCUUAACCGCCGUCCGGGCGAGCUCCCGCCAGAAGACACUUAAAUUCUGUUGAUCAGUGACUGUCUGAGAUUAUAUUUAAUCAUUAAAACUUUCAACAACGGAUCUCUUGGUUCCAGCAUCGAUGAAGAACGCAGCGAAAUGCGAUAAGUAAUGUGAAUUGCAGAAUUCCGUGAAUCAUCGAAUCUUUGAACGCACAUUGCGCCCUCUGGUAUUCCGGGGGGCAUGCCUGUCCGAGCGUCAUUUGCAACCCUCAAGCCCGGCUUGUGUGAUGGGUGCCGUCCCCUACGGGACGCGCCCCGAAGGCAAUGGCGGCGUCGCGGUUAUCCGAUCAGCCAAAGUGUAUGGGGCUUUGUCACUCACUUUACGGCCCGGACCGGCGCCAGUCCGAAUCAAUCUUUUUUCUAAAGUUGACCUCGGAUCAGGUAGGGAUACCCGCUGAACUUAAGCAUAUCAAUAAGCGGAGGAAAAGAAACCAACAGGGAUUGCCUCAGUAACGGCGAGUGAAGCGGCAAGAGCUCAAAUUUGAAA